RNAcentral lists this ribosomal RNA (739 nucleotides) under uncultured bacterium. RNAcentral describes it as "bacterial SSU rRNA". It matches the Rfam family "Bacterial small subunit ribosomal RNA", at positions 49 to 809 of the family's 1533-position model. The record is from RNAcentral.
CUACCAUGCAGUCGGGCGAAGAAGCUCCUCCGGGAGUGGAUUAGCGGCGGACGGGUGAGUAACAGGGGCAACCUGCCUCAAAGAGGGGGAUAGCCUCCCGAAAGGGAGAUUAAUACCGCAUAAAAGGUAAAUAUCGCAUGGUAAAUACCUUAAAGGAGAAAUCCGCUUUGAGAUGGGCCCGCGUCGCAUUAGCUAGUUGGUGGGAUAACAGCCCACCAAGGCGACGAUGCGUAGCCGACCUGAGAGGGUGAACGGCCACAUUGGAACUGAGAGACGGUCCAGACUCCUACGGGAGGCAGCAGUGGGGAAUAUUGCACAAUGGGCGAAAGCCUGAUGCAGCAACGCCGCGUGAGUGAAGAAGGUUUUCGGAUCGUAAAGCUCUGUCAUCCGGGACGAUAAUGACGGUACCGGAAGAGGAAGCCACGGCUAACUAUGUGCCAGCAGCCGCGGUAAUACGUAGGUGGCGAGCGUUGUCCGGAUUUACUGGGCGUAAAGGAUGCGUAGGCGGAUAUUUAAGUCAGAUGUGAAAUACCCGAGCUUAACUUGGGUGCUGCAUUUGAAACUGGGUAUCUAGAGUGCAGGAGAGGCAAGUGGAAUUCCUAGUGUAGCGGUGAAAUGCGUAGAGAUUAGGAAGAACACCAGUGGCGAAGGCGACUUACUGGACUGUAACUGACGCUGAGGCAUGAAAGCGUGGGUAGCAAACAGGAUUAGAUACCCUGGUAGUCCACGCCGUAAACGA